UACGUAGGGAGCAAGCGUUGUUCGGAUUUACUGGGCGUAAAGGGCGCGUAGGCGGCAAUUCAAGUCAUCUGUGAAAUCUCCGGGCUUAACUCGGAACGGUCAGAUGAUACUGCUUUGCUAGAGUGCGGGAAGGGGCAAUCGGAAUUCUCGGUGUAGCGGUGAAAUGCGUAGAUAUCGAGAGGAACACCUGAGGUGAAGACGGGUUGCUGGGCCGACACUGACGCUGAGGAGCGAAAGCAUGGGGAGCGAACAGG
This 254-nucleotide ribosomal RNA is filed under the name uncultured bacterium. RNAcentral describes it as "partial 16S ribosomal RNA". It matches the Rfam family "Bacterial small subunit ribosomal RNA", at positions 524 to 776 of the family's 1533-position model. The record is from RNAcentral.